AUCGAACGCUGGCGGCAGGCUUAACACAUGCAAGUCGAACGGCCACUCCGGUGAGAUUGCCAGACGGGUGAGUAACACGUGAGAACGUACCUUUCUGUUCGGACGUAUCCAGUAAUACUUGGACUAAUAUCGGAUACGCCCUUCGUGGGAAAGAUUCAUCGCCGAUAGAUCGGCCGGCGUCUGAUUCGCUAGUUGGUUAGGUAAUGGCUCACCAAGGCGACGAUCAGUAGCUGGUCUGAGAGGAUGAUCAGCCACAUUGGGACUGAGACACGGUCCAAACUCCUACGGGAGGCAGCAGUGGGGAAUAUUGGACAAUGGGGGCAAGCAUGAUCGAGCCAUGCCGCGUGAGUAAUGAAGGCAUUAGGGUUGUAAAGCUCUUUUGUCCGGGAAGAUAAUGACUGUACCGGAAGAAUAAGCACCGGCUAACUUCGUG
Molecule: ribosomal RNA, 433 nt
Filed under: uncultured bacterium
Lineage: Bacteria
Description: partial 16S ribosomal RNA
Rfam family: Bacterial small subunit ribosomal RNA
Source: RNAcentral